ACAGUUUUUGGACAGAAGUAGAUCGUCAAUGCAGAAAAGGACUUCCACACAUUACAGCACCAGGAAAUCCUGAGUUAUUUCAAAAAAGAUUUGUAAGCACCUGGAAUCUUCUUGUAGAAAUUGCCAAGAAAUAUGGGAAUAAUGAAAUGCUGAAAACAAAUCCAUCAUUUCAAGACCAUAUAAAGAGAUUCAAUUUACCAGUAUAUUUCGAAAUUAGAUUCCAGCAAAUUGCAAGCCAGUUUGAGACUGAUCUCACAAUUAAACCAAAUGACUCUUCAAUUUUCAAUGGUGAUAAUGACUUUGGAUUCAAACUAAAAAUAACACUUGAUUUGUAUGUUGCUUUGAAAAAAUGCUUCAAUGGCCAUGUCUUCAUUGAUCAAUUGGCAGAUCAUUUCCUCAAAUUCUCAAUGUUUCUUCUAUCUAGAUACAUUAUGUGGUUCAAGAAAAUAUUGGAACAGCGCUAUACUAAUAUGAAUUGGGAGUACUUCAUUAUGAAUUCUCUGAUGGAUUUCAAAAAACUUCUCACUAUUCUUGGUGA
Long non-coding RNA from Harmonia axyridis, 538 nucleotides. RefSeq lists it as uncharacterized. The transcript has 2 exons. The record is from RefSeq and is a predicted model, not a curated record. NCBI's taxonomy places the organism in Eukaryota, Metazoa, Arthropoda, Insecta, Coleoptera, Coccinellidae.